GGCGAGAUGGCCGAGCGGUCUAAGGCGCUACGUUAAGGAAUUCCCUUAAUAACAUCAUGAUUCAUGAUCCCGUAGUCCGAAAGGGCGUGGGUUCGAAUCCCACUCUCGUCA
Molecule: transfer RNA, 111 nt
Filed under: Immersiella caudata
Lineage: Eukaryota; Fungi; Ascomycota; Sordariomycetes; Sordariales; Lasiosphaeriaceae
Description: Cercophora caudata tRNA
Rfam family: tRNA
About the family: Transfer RNA (tRNA) molecules are approximately 80 nucleotides in length. Their secondary structure includes four short double-helical elements and three loops (D, anti-codon, and T loops).
Source: Rfam by way of RNAcentral